RNAcentral lists this long non-coding RNA (284 nucleotides) under Gossypium barbadense (sea-island cotton). Its description in RNAcentral is "long non-coding RNA (GBAR_LNC004303)". Lineage: Eukaryota; Viridiplantae; Streptophyta; Magnoliopsida; Malvales; Malvaceae. The record is from RNAcentral.
UUUUGUUAUGAUGAAAUUGAUGUACAAGAUAUGUAUAUGUGAUAAGGCCUAAUGGCCAAUGUGAUGAAUGUGAAAGUGUAUAUAUGUGAUAAGGCCGAAUGGCCAAUGUGAUGAAUGUGAAAGUGUAUAUAUGUGAUAAGACCUAAUGGCCGAUGUGAUGAAUGUGAAAGUGUAUAUAUGUGAUAAGGCCGAAUGGCCAAUGUGAUGAAUGUGAAAGUGUAUAUAUGAGAUAAGACCUAAUGGCCGAUGUGAUGGAUGUGAAGGUGUAUAUAUGUGAUAAGGCC